This 555-nucleotide ribosomal RNA is filed under the name uncultured bacterium. RNAcentral describes it as "bacterial SSU rRNA". It matches the Rfam family "Bacterial small subunit ribosomal RNA", at positions 372 to 918 of the family's 1533-position model. The record is from RNAcentral.
UGGGCGAAAGCCUGAUCCAGCAAUGCCGCGUGUGUGAAGAAGGCCUUAGGGUUGUAAAGCACUUUCAGUGGGGAGGAAGGGUUUAAUGUUAAUACCAUUGAACAUUGACGUUACCCACAGAAGAAGCACCGGCUAACUCUGUGCCAGCAGCCGCGGUAAUACAGAGGGUGCGAGCGUUAAUCGGAAUUACUGGGCGUAAAGCGUGUGUAGGUGGUUGGUUAAGUUAGAUGUGAAAGCCCCGGGCUCAACCUGGGAAUUGCGUUUAAAACUGGCCAGCUAGAGUACUGUAGAGGAUAGUGGAAUUUCCAGUGUAGCGGUGAAAUGCGUAGAUAUUGGAAGGAACACCAGUGGCGAAGGCGACUGUCUGGACAGAUACUGACACUGAGACACGAAAGCGUGGGGAGCAAACAGGAUUAGAUACCCUGGUAGUCCACGCCGUAAACGAUGAGAACUUGCUGUUGGGUGCAUAAAGGCACUUAGUAGCGGAGCUAACGCGUUAAGUUCUCCGCCUGGGGAGUACGGCCGCAAGGCUAAAACUCAAAGGAAUUGACGGGG